Molecule: long non-coding RNA, 711 nt
Organism: Anarrhichthys ocellatus (wolf-eel)
Lineage: Eukaryota; Metazoa; Chordata; Actinopteri; Perciformes; Anarhichadidae
Exons: 3
Source: RefSeq, a predicted model, not a curated record
GAGAGAGAGAGAGAGAGAGACACACACACACACACACACACACACACACAGAGGCUGACGUCCUGCUCAGUGGUUAGUUAGCUGGUCCUUCUCGGCUAUGAUUGACAGAGUCAGAAGAAGAAGAAGAGCUUCACCCGCUCGUUUGUUGUCACCGUAACAGAAGAACAAACUGCGGCAUGGCGAGUGAAGAACGAGCCCCGAGUUCAACAAGAAGAAGACCACCAUGUUUCGGAUUAUUGAGGAUGUUAUUUAUUGCUUUUAUUCAAACCACGCGGGCCAAUAAACAAGCAUUCAUCCAGUCAGACACAAUUCUAGAAGUUUUACAUUUUGGUGAGGGGAGCCUUUUACAGGCGGAGUCUGACAUCGAUUUUAGUUUAUAUCAUCAACAAAGGUGAGUUUAACGUCCUAACCUCAGACACACAUACUGUAUGUUUAUGUACAUGUCGUCAUAGUUAGUGUACUACAUGUAGUAUUUAGUGCUCCACAUACUAGCGCUGUGCUGGGUGUUAAAGCAACAGCGUGAAGGGUUUAGUGACAUCUAGUGGAGAGGUUGCAUAACGACAUAAAAAGUCUCUUUAGAGUCAGUUUGGCUUGUUCGUUGUGGCUUACUGUAGAAACAUGGAACAUGGUGGAAACCACAGAGUGUUUAUAAGAAGUGGAUGUAGUCGUUUGUUGAUGUUUUGAAGCCUCGAGUUCAGCCUUUUGUCCGUC